This 445-nucleotide long non-coding RNA is filed under the name Parus major (Great Tit). RNAcentral's name for it is "lncRNA (ENSPMJG00000012143.1)". The record is from RNAcentral. Lineage: Eukaryota; Metazoa; Chordata; Aves; Passeriformes; Paridae.
UUCACAUCUGGCCCCUCAGAGACAAAGAUGAUAUUUUGUCAGCAGUUAAUGGGAGCUGCCCCCUCACUCAGGCAGCUUCAAGGCCAUGUGGUCAGUUCAUAAUUCAGGGCUGGGAAAUUGCUUCUUGCCAGUGUGAAUCUUGGUGUGACUCAAGGAGAAUCUCAUUCUCCAUUUCUCCUCCUACGACUAAUUGCCUGGCAGCAGAGUAGCAGAAAAGAAAGAAGACCCUUCAGAUUUCCAGCACACCGUCCUUGAGAAUCUGCAUGCAGAGGCCACCAGGACAGCUGUCAGACACUGACUUGGGAGCUCAGAGGACAAGAGCAGACGUUGCAGAAUGUUCCUGGGGACACAUCAGGCCAUCUCUUAUCACCUAAAUGUUUCUUUCAUUUGAUACUUAUAACGCAAUGCUGUGGUCAACGAUAUAAUAAAAAUCCCAUCAGAAGCA